CCCGGGCCUUGUACACACCGCCCGUCACGUCACGAAAGUUGGUAACACCCGAAGCCGAUGGCCUAACCCGCUUGCGGGAGGGAGUUGUCGAAGGUGGGACUGGCGAUUGGGACG
This 114-nucleotide ribosomal RNA is filed under the name uncultured bacterium. RNAcentral's name for it is "partial 16S ribosomal RNA". It matches the Rfam family "Bacterial small subunit ribosomal RNA", at positions 1373 to 1482 of the family's 1533-position model. The record is from RNAcentral.